This 240-nucleotide unclassified non-coding RNA is filed under the name soil metagenome. RNAcentral's name for it is "partial contains 5.8S ribosomal RNA, internal transcribed spacer 2, and large subunit ribosomal RNA". The record is from RNAcentral.
AACGGUCUAUACCUGCGGUACCUGCGGAAGGAUCAUUACUGAGUGAGGGCCCCUCGGGGUCCAACCUCCCACCCGUGUUUAACGAACCUUUGUUGCUUCGGCGGGCCCGCCUCACGGCCGCCGGGGGGCUCCUGCCCCCGGGCCCGCGCCCGCCGAAGCCCCCCCUUGAACGCUGUCUGAAGUUUGCAGUCUGAGAAACUAGCUAAAUUAGUUAAAACUUUUAGCAACGGAUCUCUAGAU